Molecule: ribosomal RNA, 253 nt
Filed under: uncultured bacterium
Lineage: Bacteria
Description: partial 16S ribosomal RNA
Rfam family: Bacterial small subunit ribosomal RNA
Source: RNAcentral
UACGAAGGGGGCUAGCGUUGCUCGGAAUUACUGGGCGUAAAGCGCACGUAGGCGGUCUUUUAAGUCGGGGGUGAAAUCCUGGAGCUCAACUCCAGAACUGCCUUCGAUACUGGAAGACUUGAGUCCGGGAGAGGUGAGUGGAACUGCGAGUGUAGAGGUGAAAUUCGUAGAUAUUCGCAAGAACACCAGUGGCGAAGGCGGCUCACUGGCCCGGUACUGAGGCUGAGGUGCGAAAGCGUGGGGAGCAAACAGG